Molecule: transfer RNA, 88 nt
Filed under: candidate division WWE3 bacterium
Lineage: Bacteria; candidate division WWE3
Description: tRNA-Leu
Rfam family: tRNA
About the family: Transfer RNA (tRNA) molecules are approximately 80 nucleotides in length. Their secondary structure includes four short double-helical elements and three loops (D, anti-codon, and T loops).
Source: RNAcentral
GCCGCGGUGGCGGAAUGGCAGACGCGAAGGUCUCAAAAACCUUUGGAGGGCAACCUCCAUGUGAGUUCGACUCUCACCCGCGGCACCA